GGGUUGUGAGGUUAAGCGACUAAGCGUACACGGUGGAUGCCCUGGCAGUCAGAGGCGAUGAAGGACGUGCUAAUCUGCGAUAAGCGUCGGUAAGGUGAUAUGAACCGUUAUAACCGGCGAUUUCCGAAUGGGGAAACCCAGUGUGAUUCGUCACACUAUCAUUAACUGAAUCCAUAGGUUAAUGAGGCGAACCGGGGGAACUGAAACAUCUAAGUACCCCGAGGAAAAGAAAUCAACCGAGAUUCCCCCAGUAGCGGCGAGCGAACGGGGAGGAGCCCAGAGCCUGAAUCAGUGUGUGUGUUAGUGGAAGCGUCUGGAAAGGCGCGCGAUACAGGGUGACAGCCCCGUACACAAAAAUGCACAUACUGUGAGCUCGAUGAGUAGGGCGGGACACGUGGUAUCCUGUCUGAAUAUGGGGGGACCAUCCUCCAAGGCUAAAUACUCCUGACUGACCGAUAGUGAACCAGUACCGUGAGGGAAAGGCGAAAAGAACCCCGGCGAGGGGAGUGAAAAAGAACCUGAAACCGU
This 528-nucleotide ribosomal RNA is filed under the name Escherichia coli. RNAcentral's name for it is "partial 23S ribosomal RNA". It matches the Rfam family "Bacterial large subunit ribosomal RNA", at positions 1 to 559 of the family's 2925-position model. The record is from RNAcentral. Lineage: Bacteria; Pseudomonadati; Pseudomonadota; Gammaproteobacteria; Enterobacterales; Enterobacteriaceae.